RNAcentral lists this ribosomal RNA (500 nucleotides) under uncultured bacterium. Its description in RNAcentral is "partial 16S ribosomal RNA". It matches the Rfam family "Bacterial small subunit ribosomal RNA", at positions 30 to 523 of the family's 1533-position model. The record is from RNAcentral.
AUUGAACGCUGGCGGAAUGCUUUACACAUGCAAGUCGAACGGCAGCACGGACUUCGGUCUGGUGGCGAGUGGCGAACGGGUGAAUAAUGUAUCGGAACGUGCCCAGUCGUGGGGGAUAACGUAGUGAAAAUUACGCUAAUACCGCAUACGAUCUAUGGAUGAAAGCGGGGGAUCGCAAGACCUCGCGCGAUUGGAGCGGCCGAUAUCAGAUUAGGUAGUUGGUGGGGUAAAGGCCCACCAAGCCAACGAUCUGUAGCUGGUCUGAGAGGACGACCAGCCACACUGGAACUGAGACACGGUCCAGACUCCUACGGGAGGCAGCAGUGGGGAAUUUUGGACAAUGAGCGAAAGCCUGAUCCAGCCAUUCCGCGUGCAGGAUGAAGGCCCUCGGGUUGUAAACUGCUUUUGUACAGAACGAAAAGGUUUCUACUAAUACUAGGAGCUCAUGACGGUACUGUAAGAAUAAGCACCGGCUAACUACGUGCCAGCAGCCGCCGUAA